AACAUUAUGCGUUGUGAAGCGUAGACUAUAGUUGUUUAUCUAAACUCAAAUUUUACCUCAUUCAACCGCUUCACCUUUCUUGAGCUAUAGUUCUUCAGUUACAUUUUUAAUAACGUCCCCUGCUUAGGAUGCCAAUUCUCAUUAUUUGCCAUCAAGUAAUUCGUUCUUAGUUUCCUAUUUAAACGCAACCUUGUAGAAUCAGUUCGGAAAGCAUUCUUUAACAAAGGCAAAACUACUGCGUGAAUCCUCCGCAAGAAAAUGGCAACCAAAAUGUUUCCUUGCUUAAUUUGUAUACUUGUCCUACUGGCGUUAUCUUCACCUGAAUGUGAUGCAAUUGGAAAUGGAGCCCUAGCUGGGAAAAGAUUGUUCAAAGAGAAAAAGAGUGUGAUUGAAGACAUGCGUCAUUUUGCCAUGAAGCGUGAGCUGUGUGAUGCAGCGAAAAGUCUUGGUUGCUGAACUAAACAGUAAAACAUACAGCAAAUAUUCGGCAGGCAGGAAAUAAACUAAACUUGUAUCUUCUCUGAAUUAUGAUGUCAAAUUAAAGAAAUAUGUAACUAAGAGACAUUCUAGCUUACCAUUGUGUGGAAUAAACAGUUUGAAUGUUAAUAAAAUAGUAAAAGAAGG
Long non-coding RNA from Orbicella faveolata, 624 nucleotides. RefSeq lists it as uncharacterized. The record is from RefSeq and is a predicted model, not a curated record. NCBI's taxonomy places the organism in Eukaryota, Metazoa, Cnidaria, Anthozoa, Scleractinia, Merulinidae.